Molecule: ribosomal RNA, 253 nt
Filed under: uncultured bacterium
Lineage: Bacteria
Description: partial 16S ribosomal RNA
Rfam family: Bacterial small subunit ribosomal RNA
Source: RNAcentral
UACGGGGGGGGCACGCGUUGUUCGGAAUUACUGGGCGUAAAGGGCUCGUAGGUGGCCAACUAAGUCAGACGUGAAAUCCCUCGGCUUAACCGGGGAACUGCGUCUGAUACUGGAUGGCUUGAGUUUGGGAGAGGGACGCGGAAUUCCAGGUGUAGCGGUGAAAUGCGUAGAUAUCUGGAGGAACACCGGUGGCGAAGGCGGCGUCCUGGACCAACACUGACACUGAGGAGCGAAAGCCAGGGGAGCAAACGGG